AAGUUUUUCUCAAAUUAUUGGCUGGGAGCCCUGGUUGUCACUAAACUAGAGCUUCGCUUCACGCGGAAAGCCACGAUGACGAGUUCAUCGCACGGUCCUGAGCGGGAAACUACUCACUAGAGAUCCGUCUCUGCGAGCCUGAUGACCGUUCCUAGUUCUUCCUUGUGGAGUCUAGGAGGGGCCGUGCGCCGGCUGAGUGGU
This is a small nucleolar RNA of Hyalella azteca, 201 nucleotides long. RefSeq annotates it as small nucleolar RNA U3. The transcript has a single exon. The record is from RefSeq and is a predicted model, not a curated record. Lineage: Eukaryota; Metazoa; Arthropoda; Malacostraca; Amphipoda; Hyalellidae.